CUUGACCCUCCUGCUUCCCCUUACAGCCCCCAUGGAAGAGCCUGAGCUUGACAGCCCCAGCCUGUCCACACAGUCAGGCUUGGAGCCUUCCCAUGAACCCAAGACCAUCAGCCCCAGCACUGGAGAUGAGCAGCCCCAGCACUGAGAACCAGGUGACAUCAGACUCAUCCCACAGCAGCUCCUCAGAACCUGAGGACAGCACCUGCUCCAGCAGUCCUGGGCCUGACCUGACACAAAACUGCUCGUGCCAGCAACGUCGGACCCCAUUCCAUAUGGCCGGUCCUGGACUCCCCAUGACAGUAACUGCGAGUCACAUCGAGUUCUGAGAGGCAAAACCCAAGGGAGACACAGCAGCGAGGACAUCCCGAAGGCAAAACCACGCCCACCAGGAGUGUCAGACCCCAAAUCCACAGAGCCGGUCCCAAAGUCCCCAUGACAGGAGCCAUGAGCCAGCACCAAGUCCUGGGAGACGCAGGCCCAGGCAGACACAAACAGGGACAUCCUGCAAGCAAAAGCACUUCUGGCAGCAAUAUCAGACCCCCAAUACACAGAGCCAGUCCAGAAGUCAUCGUGACAGGAGCCGCGUGAGAUCACCAAGGGCUGGGAGGUGCAACAGCGGCCAGAAGCAUCGAGGACACCCCAAAGGCGAAACCAGUCCCGCCAGCAACGUCGGACCCCAGAUGAAUGCAGCCAAUCUAGAAGUUGCCGUGACAGGAGCCGUGUGGCAGCCCCAAGUGCUGGGAGAUGCACCCCCAGCCAGGAAGCACGAAGGACAUCCCACACGUGAAACUGGUUCUGUCAGCAACGUAUCAAAUCCCUUUAUCAAAUCCCUUCAAUAAAUGUAUAGGACUGCUUUUUAAAAUAUUUUUAUGUAUUUGCAAAAUUAUGCAAGUGGCACUUUUGA
This is a long non-coding RNA of Pseudopipra pipra, 904 nucleotides long. RefSeq lists it as uncharacterized. The transcript has 2 exons. The record is from RefSeq and is a predicted model, not a curated record. Lineage: Eukaryota; Metazoa; Chordata; Aves; Passeriformes; Pipridae.